Molecule: ribosomal RNA, 849 nt
Filed under: Alternaria bornmuelleri
Lineage: Eukaryota; Fungi; Ascomycota; Dothideomycetes; Pleosporales; Pleosporaceae
Description: eukaryotic LSU rRNA
Rfam family: Eukaryotic large subunit ribosomal RNA
Source: RNAcentral
ACAGGGAUUGCCCUAGUAACGGCGAGUGAAGCGGCAACAGCUCAAAUUUGAAAUCUGGCUCUUUUAGAGUCCGAGUUGUAAUUUGCAGAGGGCGCUUUGGCUUUGGCAGCGGUCCAAGUUCCUUGGAACAGGACGUCACAGAGGGUGAGAAUCCCGUACGUGGUCGCUGGCUAUUGCCGUGUAAAGCCCCUUCGACGAGUCGAGUUGUUUGGGAAUGCAGCUCUAAAUGGGAGGUACAUUUCUUCUAAAGCUAAAUAUUGGCCAGAGACCGAUAGCGCACAAGUAGAGUGAUCGAAAGAUGAAAAGCACUUUGGAAAGAGAGUCAAACAGCACGUGAAAUUGUUGAAAGGGAAGCGCUUGCAGCCAGACUUGCUUGCAGUUGCUCAUCCAGGCUUUUGCCCGGUGCACUCUUCUGUAGGCAGGCCAGCAUCAGUUUGGGCGGUAGGAUAAAGGUCUCUGUCACGUACCUCUCUUCGGGGAGGCCUUAUAGGGGAGACGAAAUACCACCAGCCUGGACUGAGGUCCGCGCAUCUGCUAGGAUGCUGGCGUAAUGGCUGUAAGCGGCCCGUCUUGAAACACGGACCAAGGAGUCUAACAUCUAUGCGAGUGUUUGGGUGUCAAGCCCGAGCGCGUAAUGAAAGUGAACGGAGGUGGGAACCCGCAAGGGUGCACCAUCGACCGAUCCUGAUGUCUUCGGAAGGAUUUGAGUAAGAGCAUGGCUGUUGGGACCCGAAAGAUGGUGAACUAUGCUUGAAUAGGGUGAAGCCAGAGGAAACUCUGGUGGAGGCUCGCAGCGGUUCUGACGUGCAAAUCGAUCGUCAAAUUUGGGCAUAGGGGCGAAAGACUAAU